This 1030-nucleotide unclassified non-coding RNA is filed under the name Leishmania donovani. Its description in RNAcentral is "gene:LdHU3.32.4120(CDS-product:hypothetical_prote in_conserved)". Lineage: Eukaryota; Euglenozoa; Kinetoplastea; Trypanosomatida; Trypanosomatidae. The record is from RNAcentral.
CCCUUCACAUUGAUUUGCGCGUUUCACGCCAGAAAGUGCGUCGAUUCGCUUGUCUGGAGAACGAGUUGCCCCGACGCCCUUCUCCCUCAAGCCGCUUCGCUCUGCUGCCGUCACGCCUCUUUCUCUUCUUUCCACAUCACAGAGAGGCUAUAUUCAUUUUGUUUGGGUUUCUACAGUUCGCUUGACGGCUGCGAGGGCAGUGCGGUUGCUGGUGCUGCUGAGGUUCUCUGGGGGGGAGAGAGAGAGGGGGGAGGACCGCUCUUAUCACACUGCGCAUCUCUUUCACGCACACAGCAUCAAAGUUCUCUCUCGUUUCCCCUUCGCUUUUUUUCCAUGCCCCCUUUCACACUUCUCUCUGCCACGCUCUCGCUGCAUCACAGGCGAUACACUAGCACACAUACACACACACACAAACACACAGACACACAACAGCAUCUUUGGAACCACAUCGCCAGAACAUGAUCUACGUCCCCUUCGCAGUCGGCGCGGGCGCGUUCUCUGUCCUGAAUGCCUGCGGCUCGAUUGCAUGCUGGUACGGCAGCCGACGUCCGGUCAUGCUUUUAACCGGCGCUAUCAACACAUGCAUCGGCGGCGCGGCUGUCGUUAUGUAUCCGUACGACGCAAAGCUGUCCAACGUAUAUAUGUGCGCCGCAGCCACGUCGGCGUCCGCGCAGUACCUCCUCCAUGCAAUGCGGACCCCUCAGCUACUUGCGCCGUCAAUGAUGAACUUUCUGUACGCGCUCUGGUCGGUGGGACUUCUCGUGUACGCGUGCCAGCGUGCGCGUUGGGUGUACGCGCUGCGGUACGACUGAAGCACUCACCGCCAAAAGUGCUCCUCCUCGGCUCCUCUCGUCAGGCUGUGGAGCCUGUAUGUGCCACGGGCACCGCGUGAAGAGGAAGCGUCCACCGGCUCACAUCGAGGGCGAAAAGAGAGACUCCCCUGCACCGCUCUCACUUCCUCGCCGUCUACUGACCACAGACACCGACCUGGCCAUUCGCGCUGUAUAAACCCUAUCGCACACAUACGCAG